UACGUAGGGUGCAAGCGUUAAUCGGAAUUACUGGGCGUAAAGCGUGCGCAGGCGGUGAUGUAAGACAGAUGUGAAAUCCCCGGGCUCAACCUGGGAACUGCAUUUGUGACUGCAUCGCUAGAGUACGGCAGAGGGGGAUGGAAUUCCUCGUGUAGCAGUGAAAUGCGUAGAUAUGCGGAGGAACACCGAUGGCGAAGGCAAUCCCCUGGACCUGUACUGACGCUCAUGCACGAAGGCGUGGGGAGCAAACAGG
Molecule: ribosomal RNA, 253 nt
Filed under: uncultured bacterium
Lineage: Bacteria
Description: partial 16S ribosomal RNA
Rfam family: Bacterial small subunit ribosomal RNA
Source: RNAcentral